CUAGCUGUAAACGAUGGAUACUAGGCGUUGAGAGUAUCGACCCUCUCAGUGUCGUAGCUAACGCGUUAAGUAUCCCGCCUGGGGAGUACGCGCGCAAGCGUGAAACUCAAAGGAAUUGACGGGGGCCCGCACAAGCGGUGGAGUAUGUGGUUUAAUUCGAUGCGACGCGAAGAACCUUACCAGGGCUUGACAUGUCCGGAACCCUGCCCAAAGGCGGGGGUGCCUACGGGAACCGGAACACAGGUGGUGC
This 250-nucleotide ribosomal RNA is filed under the name uncultured Chroococcidiopsis sp. RNAcentral describes it as "partial 16S ribosomal RNA". It matches the Rfam family "Bacterial small subunit ribosomal RNA", at positions 796 to 1044 of the family's 1533-position model. The record is from RNAcentral. Lineage: Bacteria; Bacillati; Cyanobacteriota; Cyanophyceae; Chroococcidiopsidales; Chroococcidiopsidaceae.